This 255-nucleotide ribosomal RNA is filed under the name uncultured bacterium. RNAcentral describes it as "partial 16S ribosomal RNA". It matches the Rfam family "Bacterial small subunit ribosomal RNA", at positions 524 to 776 of the family's 1533-position model. The record is from RNAcentral.
UACAUGGGGUGCAAACGUUGCUCGGAAUUAUUGGGCGUAAAGCGCACGUAGGCGGUUCGUUAAGUCGGAUGUGAAAGCCCUCGGCUCAACUGAGGAAGUGCACCCGAAACUGGCGAGCUUGAGUACGAAAAGAGGAUCGCGGAAUUCCCGGUGUAGAGGUGAAAUUCGUAGAUAUCGGGGAGGAACACCGGUGGCGAAGGCGGCGAUCUGGGUCGAUACUGACGCUGAGGUGCGAAAGCGUGGGGAGCAAACAGG